CAUACACGAAUAGGAUAAAGUGAGGAGAAGCUCAGAUCAAACCAUCUUGCCUGGUUAAUAUAUAGAUAGAUUUUCACUAACAUGUGAGUCAAUUUAUGUCUAAAAUAACAAAAAAAAAACCAAUUUUCGGUGCCAAAUAAACACAUUAGUGUGGAUGCGUGUCAGCCUAUGUAAAAAUAUCAUUUUUUUCCUCUGCCCUUGCUUUUGUAAUAUCCACUCUGUUGUUUGAUUUGUUCAAGUAAUAAUUGUUUGGAUAAGUACUAUUGAUCCUUGUUACUUGACUCGACUACUGUAUGGGAUCAUCACAAUUUGUACAUUUCCAGAAUUAAACAUUUAUUUACGACUAUGGAAUCUUUGAUUGCUCUGAGAGAAAAUAUUGCAUAUCCACUUAAUUUGGGUUACUACGGGUAUUUCUGAGAUUUUGUUCAACUAAAUUCAAAUACAGACUUCAAAAUUUACCCACCAAUUUCGGAUUAAAAAAACUUCUUCAGCUUUUAUUUAGUGGCCUUAAAUUAUAUUUUGGAAACAAUUAAUUAUGAUUUUAUACAUAAAUAAUUUUACUUAAUAUUUAAACAAUAAAAGCUGAAAAAGGGAAGAAAACUGGUAAAAAAACCGGCUAUAACCGGUCUGGAAAUGGUCCAAAACGGCUGGAUGACCUGCUCAGCAGGUCACCCACUAUAUAAAGAUCAUUUCCUCUCUUCCUCACCCAAAACCCUAGCCGCUGCCUCUCUCCUUCUCUGAAAUCUCGUCUGCUUCCUCCUCUCUUCAUUUCUUCUUCUUCUUCUUCUUCUUCUUCUUCUUCUUCUUCUUCCUCCCUUUCUCCCUUCUCUCUAAAACCCUAGCCGCUACUCUUACUGUUCUUCCCCUAAUCCUUUUCUUCCUCUGAUUUUUUCCUCUUCUUCUGCUGUUCUUCAAACCGUAUUCUUCUUCUUCCACUCCUCUGGUCCCCUCCACCAUUUUCGCCCCCAAACGAUCCUAAACCCUAAUUUUCGCCCCCUACAGAUCCAAAACCCUCAUUUUUCUCCAAAUCCGAGUUAAGAACCACAUGGAUCGGAGAUUUUUACAAUCUGAGCUACACAAGCAACGAUUUUUUCACCAAAAUCCGAGUCAAGAAGCACCUGGAUCGGACAUUUUAGGCUCUAAGAUCAUCUCCCUGUCAACCAAAUGUGACAUGCAAGCCUCUGAAGAUGGAGUUUUUUUUUUAAUGUAAAUAUCAAUAUGCAGGGUAAAAGAACAAUUUUUUACUGUAAAGUUUGAUUUUUUAUGUAAAGAUGUAUUGUUAUAAGAUCAAUAUCAGUUCUUAUAUGUAUUGCUAUAAGAUGUAUGCUAACCUCUUUGAUGCUCCUUUCCUUCUCCUUCUGCUUGUAUCCUUUUGUUGAUGCAAUUUUGCCUCUACUUCUCCUUC
Long non-coding RNA from Lotus japonicus, 1405 nucleotides. RefSeq lists it as uncharacterized. The record is from RefSeq and is a predicted model, not a curated record. The transcript has 2 exons. Lineage: Eukaryota; Viridiplantae; Streptophyta; Magnoliopsida; Fabales; Fabaceae.